UGGGGAAUCUUGCGCAAUGGGCGAAAGCCUGACGCAGCGACGCCGCGUGGGGGAUGAAGGCCUUCGGGUUGUAAACCCCUUUCAGCAGGGACGAAGCGAAAGUGACGGUACCUGCAGAAGAAGCGCCGGCUAACUACGUGCCAGCAGCCGCGGUAACACGUAGGGCGCAAGCGUUGUCCGGAAUUAUUGGGCGUAAAGAGCUCGUAGGCGGACUGUUGCGUCCGCUGUGAAAAGCUGGGGCUUAACCCUGGCCUUGCAGUGGAUACGGGCAGACUAGAGGUAGGUAGGGGAGAAUGGAAUUCCCGGUGUAGCGGUGAAAUGCGCAGAUAUCGGGAGGAACACCGGUGGCGAAGGCGGUUCUCUGGGCCUUACCUGACGCUGAGGAGCGAAAGCGUGGGGAGCGAACAGGAUUAGAUACCCCCGUAGUCC
This 429-nucleotide ribosomal RNA is filed under the name uncultured bacterium. RNAcentral describes it as "bacterial SSU rRNA". It matches the Rfam family "Bacterial small subunit ribosomal RNA", at positions 355 to 796 of the family's 1533-position model. The record is from RNAcentral.